CUAGCUGGCCGGGCGGCCGCUGUUGCCAGGUCUCGACCUGGGAAUGGAGGAAAGUCCGGGCUCCACGGAAAUAGGGUGCCGGUUAAUGGCCGGCGGGGGCGACCUCAGGGAAAGCGCCACAGAAAGCAAACCGCCUCGGCAAGCUCGCUUGCCGAGGUAAGGGUGAAAGGGUGCGGUAAGAGCGCACCGCGCGGCCGGUAACGGCAGCGGCAUGGCAAGCCCCACCCGGAGCAAGACCGAAUAGGGACGGCCGCGGCGGUCUUCGGACGCGCCGGAGCGUAUUUCCGCGCUGCCGUCCGGGUUGGUUGCGUUGAGGUCGCCGGUGACGGUGGCCCCAGAUGAAUGGUCGCCACGUCCGCGCAAGCGGGCCAUACAGAACCCGGCUUACAGGCCAGCUAGCGUU
RNAcentral lists this RNase P RNA (403 nucleotides) under Labrys neptuniae. RNAcentral describes it as "RNase P RNA component class A". It matches the Rfam family "Bacterial RNase P class A". From Rfam's summary of the family: Ribonuclease P (RNase P) is a ubiquitous endoribonuclease, found in archaea, bacteria and eukarya as well as chloroplasts and mitochondria. Its best characterised activity is the generation of mature 5'-ends of tRNAs by cleaving the 5'-leader elements of precursor-tRNAs. Lineage: Bacteria; Pseudomonadati; Pseudomonadota; Alphaproteobacteria; Hyphomicrobiales; Xanthobacteraceae. The record is from RNAcentral.